GUCAGGAUGGCCGAGCGGUCAGCGCUGCGUUCAGGUCGCAGUCUCCAUUGGAGGCGUGGGUUCAAAUCCCACUUCUGACA
This 80-nucleotide transfer RNA is filed under the name Pleuronectes platessa (European plaice). It matches the Rfam family "tRNA". From Rfam's summary of the family: Transfer RNA (tRNA) molecules are approximately 80 nucleotides in length. Their secondary structure includes four short double-helical elements and three loops (D, anti-codon, and T loops). The record is from Rfam by way of RNAcentral. Lineage: Eukaryota; Metazoa; Chordata; Actinopteri; Pleuronectiformes; Pleuronectidae.